RNAcentral lists this long non-coding RNA (2320 nucleotides) under Pogona vitticeps (central bearded dragon). RNAcentral's name for it is "lncRNA (ENSPVIG00000021127.1)". The record is from RNAcentral. Lineage: Eukaryota; Metazoa; Chordata; Lepidosauria; Squamata; Agamidae.
GGUGGUGCAGCUUGGCCUCUCCCAAUUUGAAGAGACCCUUGUCCAGCAGGCCGAGGCAAGGAGGUCAUCCCGAAACCAGCAAAACCAGGGAGCUGGACGGGGGACAGAUUGUCUUUGUCUUCAGUGUGGGAGGGAUUGUUGUCACUCUCGAACUGGCCUUCUCAGCCACACCAGACGCUAUUCUGAGUCCUCCAUUCAGAGCACGUGGCCCUAGUCUCUUGAGAGGGAAGGAUGCCUACUUAGGGGUGCUUUAACGCUUGCGAUCAGAACAGGUGUCGGCUUGCUUAGUCCAAAGGAGGAAAAGCUAAGGAGCCAAAGCUGAUGAAGCCAGCAUGCGUCAGUGUGGUCAGUGAUGCAGCAGCCUCCCUCCAUUCGGUCCUAACAGUUGGGCCCGUGCUGUUUUGACCCAGCUGUCUCUUUUGCAGUCCCUCCCUCUUGUGUGGGUCCCUCCCAAGACCAGGUCGGUGGAAUAAGACCCUCUUUGGCUUCUUUCCAAGCCUCGCCCUCUUCCCCCCCCCAAACCUUUUUUGUUUUUGUUUUUUUUAAUCCCAUUCCCGGGGCCUGGUUCAUCUCUGUUUCACCUCAGCCCAGAGCAAGGUCACCUCUGUGUCCCAUGGAAAAACCCCAGCGACAGGAUUCCCCCGGGCUGGAGAGCAGCAACAUUGCAGCCCAACCCUUUCAGCUUUGCUCUCCCGGCCUUUUAGUUCCCCACAUCUGGAACAUUGGGUAAUGUUUAACAGUGGCAUUGAAGCUGUGGAUUCGGUGACUCUGCCCCUCCUGGUGAUCAGAGGAGGACCGAACAAAACGCAGCGGGAGCUGGCUGGAGGAACACCCUCGGGGAGACCUUCCGCUCCUUCCCUAGCCCUCCGAGAUGGGAUCCUGGCUGCUGGGGGCUUGGCCCGCCACUUUGGCCCUCCUGGUUUUCAUCGAUGUGGGGCAUGGAGCAGAGCUCAGGGACGCCGCUUGGGAGGCAGAGGGUGACCCCCGCAAGGGAGAGGUGGCAAAUCUCCGGUUGUCCAGGACCACCCAGCGAAGCAAACCCACCUUCUACCGGACCGGCAGCCUUUCUGCCCUCAGCAGAGGCCUGAUGACCAACCUGAGCGUUGUGGAAGAAGUCCCAGAAGAAGUCGAGGACGCCCAGCGUCGUGAGAGGCAGGCCAGCCUCAUCAGGGAUCCCUGUUGGGGGUGCUGUGUGACUCGGUUUCCCAACCACACAGGGAGCAGAGAGCCCGCCAGAGGGGAUGCGGGGCGACCGGGCACCACCCCUCCACCCAAGCCACCAAAGAGGAACACGACCAAAGGGUACCACCGUCCUGGCGCGUACACCCCCAUGGGGAAACUGCGGCCGGAAGGCAGGCAGGCCGGAUCCUCUCCUGAGAUAAAAGGGUCGGGCCGCCAAGAAGCCAACGCCACUGAGCGCUGCCGAGGCUGCUGUGGGGCAAACGGUCCAGCAGACGGUCGGCCCCUGGGAAGAGGGGAGGAAGGGAGAGGGUCCCAAACCUCGCAGGGUCACUCCGGCGAGAGGCCGCAGAGGCCUGUCUCGGACCGGGAGGUCCCGGCCGACCGGCCUGCCCAGAAGGGAGAAAACGGCUGGUCCUCCUUCUCCAGAGGCGUCCAUGAGCCCCAAAGGCAACCACACCGAGGAGGGCCGUGAAUGGCGAAGGGCAACCGGGAAAGAGGCCACGAACCGAAAGAAGAUCCUUGGCAGGAACGGGAGAUGAAGGCAGAGAGAGUCUUCACCUGCACAGACCCUGCCUCCCCAUGGACUCCCGUUCUCGUCACUCUCUCUCUCUCUCUCUCUCUCUCUCUCUCUCCCCCCCCCCCACAGAAUCAAGAAACAGCAGCCAAGAACUGACCCGGACUUGGCCAACGAGGCCCCGCGGGGGGAGGNNGCCAACGAGGCCCCAGGUGGGGAGGGGGCUCGGGCAGCUCUGGAGGGCUGGGGCGGAGCUGGUCUAGGCUGGCCCUGUUUCAGUCCGGGCAACGCGCUGCCCACCUGCCGCAGGGGAGCCACGUGGGAACCUCCUCCUUUGGACUCAGAGGCAUGAUGGCUGGAAGUGUCGGCUCUGUUACCUGGUGCUUUAGAAGCAAACCAAAAGCUGGACCCCAAGCAAGGAGGAGGAGGAGGAGGAGGAGAAAGGCAACCCACAAACGAUAUAGAUAGAGAAAUAUAGAAAGAAUUAAAUUAAAAAGCUGCUCCUUCUUCCUCCCCCCAGCUUUAAUUAGGGCUUUCAAAUGGUCAUGUGCUUGGGUGUGUGCAAUUUCUACAAAAUAAUACUGUUCCUGUAAAAUAAAAAGCAACAGGACUUAAGGAUUUGCA